RNAcentral lists this ribosomal RNA (490 nucleotides) under uncultured bacterium. RNAcentral describes it as "partial 16S ribosomal RNA". It matches the Rfam family "Bacterial small subunit ribosomal RNA", at positions 30 to 507 of the family's 1533-position model. The record is from RNAcentral.
AUUGAACGCUGGCGGCAUGCCUAACACAUGCGAGUCGAGCGGAAGCAUGAUCUAGCUUGCUAGAUUGAUGGCGAGUGGCGCACGGGUGAGUAAUACAUCGGAACGUUCUCUGUGGUGGGGGAUAACUAGUCGAAACUUUAGCUAAUACCGCAUACAACCUGAGGGUGAAGGUUCGGGACCGCAAGGCCUCUUGCCAUAGGCUCGGCCGAUGUCUGAUUAGCUAGUUGGUGAGGUAAAGGCUUACCAAGGCGACGAUCAGUAGCUGGUCUGAGAGGACGAUCAGCCACACUGGAACUGAGACACGGUCCAGACUCCUACGGGAGGCAGCAGUGGGGAAUUUUGGACAAUGGGCGAAAGCCUGAUCCAGCAAUGCCGCGUGUGUGAAGAAGGUCUUCGGAUUGUAAAGCACUUUUAUCCGGGAAGAAAUGGCGUUGGUUAAUACCUGGAGGCGUUGACGGUACCGAAAGAAUAAGCACCGGCUAACUACGUG